AGCAUAGCAACAGCAGGGUAGCUGAACAUCUUACGGAUGGCCCAGGGCUCCAAAGGCUUGUUUCCUAAGUGAGAGAGAGCCCGGCUGAAGCUCUAUUACCAUUCAUUCUCUAGCCUCCGAAGUCUCAAAGCAUCACUUCCACCAUACUCUAAUUGUCAAGACAAACACAAAGUCCUAGAAAGAAUACAGUAUCGAUGUUCCUUUUAAACAAGUAUUUGAGUAAAAGCAAUGUUUCCAAUGUGUGUCAGAAAGUGAAUACUUGCAUAUUUCUGCAUGGUUAGAGCUGAGCUUUCCAAGCAAAUUUUACUGGGACCCGGUUGAAAGACAGGUCUUGGAAGUGAAAUGAUGACUGACUAGAUGACAUUACAUGUAAAUGGAAUCAUACAAUAUGUGAUCUUUUGUGACUGGCUUCUUUCACUUAGCAUAAUGUUUUCAAGGUUUGUUCGUGUUGUAGCAGAAACUGCCAGACUGUCUUCCGAAGUGGCUAUAAUAUUUACACUCCCAUCAGCAGUGUCUGAGUUUGCAGAGUAAACCACUACCCUGAAAUCUGGAGAGGCAGGUGCACCCAUAGAGUCUCAGCUGAGAUCCAAUUACCUGAAAUAGAAGCUGCCAUUAGGAACACUUAAAUGAGCCAGUUCUGCUGCGACACAGAAUCACUUGCUCCAUCUAAUACAUUGAUGAUGAUUAAUUUGUAUGUGUACCUUCCAAAAA
Molecule: long non-coding RNA, 711 nt
Filed under: Pongo abelii (Sumatran orangutan)
Lineage: Eukaryota; Metazoa; Chordata; Mammalia; Primates; Hominidae
Description: lincRNA
Source: RNAcentral